CGUUAGCUCAGUUGGUAGAGCAACUGACUCUUAAUCAGUGGGUCUAGGGUUCGAGUCCCU
This 60-nucleotide transfer RNA is filed under the name chicken gut metagenome. It matches the Rfam family "tRNA", at positions 8 to 62 of the family's 71-position model. From Rfam's summary of the family: Transfer RNA (tRNA) molecules are approximately 80 nucleotides in length. Their secondary structure includes four short double-helical elements and three loops (D, anti-codon, and T loops). Further hydrogen bonds mediate the characteristic L-shaped molecular structure. tRNAs have two regions of fundamental functional importance: the anti-codon, which is responsible for specific mRNA codon recognition, and the 3' end, to which the tRNAs corresponding amino acid is attached (by aminoacyl-tRNA synthetases). tRNAs cope with the degeneracy of the genetic code in two manners: having more than one tRNA (with a specific anti-codon) for a particular amino acid; and 'wobble' base-pairing, i.e. permitting non-standard base-pairing at the 3rd anti-codon position. The record is from RNAcentral.